UGAGGAAUAUUGGUCAAUGGGCGAGAGCCUGAACCAGCCAAGUAGCGUGCAGGAUGACGGCCCUAUGGGUUGUAAACUGCUUUUAUGUGGGGAUAAAGUGCGUGACGUGUCAUGCAUUGCAGGUACCACAUGAAUAAGGACCGGCUAAUUCCGUGCCAGCAGCCGCGGUAAUACGGAAGGUCCGGGCGUUAUCCGGAUUUAUUGGGUUUAAAGGGAGCGUAGGCUGUCUAUUAAGCGUGCUGUGAAAUUUACCGGCUCAACCGGUGGCUUGCAGCGCGAACUGGUCGACUUGAGUAUGCAGGAAGUAGGCGGAAUUCAUGGUGUAGCGGUGAAAUGCUUAGAUAUCAUGACGAACUCCGAUUGCGCAGGCAGCUUACUGUAGCAUAACUGACGCUGAUGCUCGAAAGUGCGGGUAUCAAACAGG
This 424-nucleotide ribosomal RNA is filed under the name Fusobacteriota bacterium. RNAcentral's name for it is "Fusobacteria bacterium partial 16S ribosomal RNA". It matches the Rfam family "Bacterial small subunit ribosomal RNA", at positions 355 to 776 of the family's 1533-position model. The record is from RNAcentral. Lineage: Bacteria; Fusobacteriati; Fusobacteriota.